GCGGCCGUGGCUGACUGGUUUACGGUGUUCGCUUUGUAAGCGAAAGGUUCUGGGUUCGAUUCCCAUCUGCUCCC
This 74-nucleotide transfer RNA is filed under the name Culex quinquefasciatus (southern house mosquito). It matches the Rfam family "tRNA". Rfam says of the family: Transfer RNA (tRNA) molecules are approximately 80 nucleotides in length. Their secondary structure includes four short double-helical elements and three loops (D, anti-codon, and T loops). Further hydrogen bonds mediate the characteristic L-shaped molecular structure. tRNAs have two regions of fundamental functional importance: the anti-codon, which is responsible for specific mRNA codon recognition, and the 3' end, to which the tRNAs corresponding amino acid is attached (by aminoacyl-tRNA synthetases). tRNAs cope with the degeneracy of the genetic code in two manners: having more than one tRNA (with a specific anti-codon) for a particular amino acid; and 'wobble' base-pairing, i.e. permitting non-standard base-pairing at the 3rd anti-codon position. The record is from Rfam by way of RNAcentral. Lineage: Eukaryota; Metazoa; Arthropoda; Insecta; Diptera; Culicidae.